RNAcentral lists this ribosomal RNA (354 nucleotides) under Polistes gallicus. RNAcentral's name for it is "partial 12S ribosomal RNA". RNAcentral also lists the same sequence under 1 other name. Lineage: Eukaryota; Metazoa; Arthropoda; Insecta; Hymenoptera; Vespidae. The record is from RNAcentral.
AUUAAUUAUAAAAUUAAAUUUAAAUAUAAAGAUAUUAAAUGAUAAAUCAUUAAAUUUAAAAGAUUUGGCGGUAUUUUAUAAAAUUAGAGGAAUCUGUAAAGUAAUUGAUAAUCCACGAUAAGAAAAACUUAAAAUUAAAAAUUUAUGUAUUGCUGUUUUAAAAAAUUAAUUAAGUAUAAAUUUUAUAUUUAAAAUUUUUAAUAUAAUUCAAGUCAAAAUAUAGUUUAAUUAAGAUAAAUUAUGGAUUACAAUUUUUAUUUAAAUAAUGGAUAAUUUUUAUUUAAAAAAAUUUGAAAUAGGAUUUAAAAGUAAAUUUAAUUAAUUAAUUAAAUUGAAUAAAAUUAUAAAAUGUGU